AUUGAACGCUGGCGGCAGGCCUAACACAUGCAAGUCGAGCGGAUGAGUGGAGCUUGCUCCAUGAUUCAGCGGCGGACGGGUGAGUAAUGCCUAGGAAUCUGCCUGGUAGUGGGGGACAACGUUUCGAAAGGAACGCUAAUACCGCAUACGUCCUACGGGAGAAAGCAGGGGACCUUCGGGCCUUGCGUUAUCAGAUGAGCCUAGGUCGGAUUAGCUAGUAGGUGAGGUAAUGGCUCACCUAGGCGACGAUCCGUAACUGGUCUGAGAGGAUGAUCAGUCACACUGGAACUGAGACACGGUCCAGACUCCUACGGGAGCAGCAGUGAGGAAUAUUGGACAA
RNAcentral lists this ribosomal RNA (340 nucleotides) under uncultured bacterium. Its description in RNAcentral is "bacterial SSU rRNA". It matches the Rfam family "Bacterial small subunit ribosomal RNA", at positions 30 to 371 of the family's 1533-position model. The record is from RNAcentral.